AGAGUUUGAUCAUGGCUCAGGAUAAACGCUGGCGGCGCACAUAAGACAUGCAAGUCGAACGGAAGUCGUUAUAAAAAGGAUUGAAGAUUUAUCUGAUUGAUAUUUUAUAACAAUGGCUUUAGUGGCGGACUGGUGAGUAACGCGUGAGCAACCUGCCUAUUAGAGGGGAAUAACAGUGAGAAAUCAUUGCUAAUACCGCAUAUGCCAUGAACAUCACAUGAUGAAAAUGGGAAAGGAGCAAUCCGCUAAUAGAUGGGCUCGCGUCUGAUUAGCUAGUUGGUAAGGUAAAGGCUUACCAAGGCGAUGAUCAGUAGCCGG
This 318-nucleotide ribosomal RNA is filed under the name uncultured bacterium. RNAcentral's name for it is "bacterial SSU rRNA". It matches the Rfam family "Bacterial small subunit ribosomal RNA", at positions 8 to 290 of the family's 1533-position model. The record is from RNAcentral.